This 306-nucleotide ribosomal RNA is filed under the name Spiricoelotes xianheensis. Its description in RNAcentral is "partial 12S ribosomal RNA". Lineage: Eukaryota; Metazoa; Arthropoda; Arachnida; Araneae; Agelenidae. The record is from RNAcentral.
AAACUAAUUUAAUUUGGCGGCAUUUUAUCUAAUUAGAGGAAUUUGUACACUAAUCGACAUUACACGGUAAAUUUAACUUCAAUUCCAAAAUUUGUAUACCUCCAUCUCAAGAAUUAAUCAAAAAGUAUUUCUCCAAAUGAUAAAUAAAAAGUUAGGUCAAGGUGCAAUCAACAUUGAAGAACAAGAUGAAUUACAUUAAGUAUAACUUAAAAUUUAUAAAUUAACAUUUAUAUAAAUCAGGAUUUAAAAGCAAUAUUUCAAUAAUAUUAUAAUAUGAUACAGAUCAUAAAUGUGUACACAUCGCCC